Molecule: ribosomal RNA, 490 nt
Filed under: uncultured bacterium
Lineage: Bacteria
Description: partial 16S ribosomal RNA
Rfam family: Bacterial small subunit ribosomal RNA
Source: RNAcentral
AUUGAACGCUGGCGGCAGGCCUAACACAUGCAAGUCGAACGGUAACAGGAAGAAGCUUGCUUCUUUGCUGACGAGUGGCGGACGGGUGAGUAAUGUCUGGGAAACUGCCUGAUGGAGGGGGAUAACUACUGGAAACGGUAGCUAAUACCGCAUAACGUCGCAAGACCAAAGAGGGGGACCUUCGGGCCUUUUGCCAUCGGAUGUGCCCAGAUGGGAUUAGCUAGUAGGUGGGGUAACGGCUCACCUAGGCGACGAUCCCUAGCUGGUCUGAGAGGAUGACCAGCCACACUGGAACUGAGACACGGUCCAGACUCCUACGGGUGGCAGCAGUGGGGAAUAUUGCACAAAGGGCGCAAGCCUGAUGCAGCCAUGCCGCGUGUAUGAAGAAGGCCUUCGGGUUGUAAAGUACUUUCAGCGGGGAGGAAGGGAGUAAAGUUAAUACCUUUGCUCAUUGACGUUACCCGCAGAAGAAGCACCGGCUAACUCCGUG